This 514-nucleotide ribosomal RNA is filed under the name uncultured bacterium. Its description in RNAcentral is "bacterial SSU rRNA". It matches the Rfam family "Bacterial small subunit ribosomal RNA", at positions 17 to 518 of the family's 1533-position model. The record is from RNAcentral.
UAUGGCGUCAGGAUGAACGCUAGCUACAGGCUUAACACAUGCAAGUCGAGGGGCGAGCAUGAAGUUGCUUGCAAACUUGAUGGCGACCGGCGCACGGGUGAGUAACGCGUAUCCAACCUUCCCCUUACGUAGAGGAUAGCCCGGCGAAAGUCGGAUUAAUACUCUAUGUUGUAUUUUGAGGACAUCUGACGAAUACCAAAGAUUCAUCGCUAAGGGAUGGGGAUGCGUCUGAUUAGCUUGUUGGCGGGGUAACGGCCCACCAAGGCGACGAUCAGUAGGGGUUCUGAGAGGAAGGUCCCCCACAUUGGUACUGAGACACGGACCAAACUCCUACGGGAGGCAGCAGUGAGGAAUAUUGGUCAAUGGGCGAGAGCCUGAACCAGCCAAGUAGCGUGCAGGAAGAACCUGCCCUAUGGGUUGUAAACUGCUUUUAUCAGGGAAUAAAGUUCGGCACGUGUGCUGCUUUGUAUGUACCUGAUGAAUAAGGACCGGCUAAUUCCGUGCCAGCAGCCGC